This 290-nucleotide long non-coding RNA is filed under the name Mytilus galloprovincialis (Mediterranean mussel). The record is from RNAcentral. Lineage: Eukaryota; Metazoa; Mollusca; Bivalvia; Mytilida; Mytilidae.
UAACCAGAUGCUCCGCAGGGCGCAGCUUUAUACGACCGCAGAGGUUGAACCCUGAACGGUUGGGGCAAGUAUGGACACAACAUUCCAGCUGGAUUCAGCUCUAAAUUUGGAUUGUGAUUAAAUAGUUGACACAGCAUAGGUUUCUGACACAGAAUUAAUGUGAUCUAAUGAACUUAAAAUACUUUUUUUUCCUUUGAGCAAUUCACUAUGCUGUUGAAUAUUAAUCCUCUCAAAAAAAUGUUUGAAGAAAUUUUCUUUUUAUUUAUGAAAUCUGAAAUGAGAAAAAUUUA